UACGGGGGGGGCAAGCGUUAUUCGGAAUUACUGGGCGUAAAGAGCGCGUAGGCGGCUUGGCAAGUCAAAGGUGAAAUCCCUCGGCUCAACCGAGGAAUUGCCUUUGAAACUGCCUUGCUCGAGGCUGGGAGGGGGUAGCGGAAUUCCCGGAGUAGCGGUGAAAUGCGUAGAUAUCGGGAGGAACACCCGUGGCGAAGGCGGCUACCUGGACCAGUUCUGACGCUGAGGCGCGAAAGCGUGGGGAGCAAACAGG
This 253-nucleotide unclassified non-coding RNA is filed under the name uncultured Acidobacteriota bacterium. Its description in RNAcentral is "uncultured Acidobacteria bacterium contains 16S-23S intergenic spacer region". It matches the Rfam family "Bacterial small subunit ribosomal RNA", at positions 524 to 776 of the family's 1533-position model. Lineage: Bacteria; Pseudomonadati; Acidobacteriota. The record is from RNAcentral.